UGAAGCAGGGCAGAGCCAAACUCCCCGCAUGGUAGGCUGCCGCCCAGGUGUCCCAGCCCGCAGAUCCCACCUGCCUGCCCCGAGUUCUUCCGCUCUCCGCGGUCAAGGAGGCUUUCUCAGCCCUCCCUUCCUGAGCCAUGAGCGCUGGGCCAGCCCUGAGCCCAAGAGCCUCCGGGGCCCCAGCAGUGAGAGAAAUCAGCUGGCCUGAACUUCGGGUGUCACAUCCGGCUACUCUGGUCUCCCUUCUCCCCAUCUGAGACGUGAGGAGGGAACAGAGAGACCAGAACCUCCCCAGAGGCACCGGGAAAGGCGGAGGAGGAACUGAGCGAGCAGCUGACCAGGACAAUGGUGUGUCAUCAUCCUCUUCCUGCAAGGAGGGACCCCGGAGAUGAGAUGCCCCAGCCUUCCUGUACCUCACCCCCGAUGCCUGUCCCCUCUGAUCGGUGGCCAACAGAGUGACUGGAACAGAAGGAAACAAACCAUGCUCUUCCCAGCUCACACCACUUCGGUGCCGCCCACCCCCCACCCCCAUCACACACAUUGUCCUUUGUUCACGGGCUCAUUCAGCAGAUGAUUAUGAAAGGUCUGCUGAGUACCAGGCAGGGGUGCACAGGAUCAGCUUACAGGCUGGCGGGGAGAAAGCCAGGAAUGAAACAGACACACAAAUGAAUAUCUAAUUACCAACUGCGUCAAGUGGGGAAGGGAACGGAACAGAACGUGGUUCCAUGAGGGUUUCAACAGAGGACCCUGGCUGGCCUGGUGGGGAGCAGGGGUUCACGAAGGACCCUGAGCAGGAGCUGCGAAGGAGAGUGCCAGAGGGUCAUCUGUUGCAGAGACAUCGAAUAAGAUGAGGAGAGAAAAAUGUCCCCAGAGUAAAGCACACAGCUCUGGGCACAGCCAUCAAGGCCCUUCAGGAUGGCCUCCCAGGUAUGUCCAUGCACCUCCUGGCCGAAAGCACCGAGCCUACCGUGCAGUUGUUUGCACUGUCCUCCCAGCCCAGGCUUCCCCUGCCCCUUCUCCCGGCAAAUGCCCAAUGAUCACACAAGCCUUGGCUCAAAAGCCACCUCCUCCAUGAAGCCUUCCCUGACCACCACUCCUCAGGUAGAACAUGUCACUAUAUCCUUGGGUGUUCCUCUAACACUCUGUACAAACCUCUGUUGGAGCACGUGGCAGAUCAUUUUGCCUGCCCAAUGCCUACUCCCCACUUCUUCCUUCCUGAAAGAAUUCUGAUUUUCUUUGGAGAAAUAGUGUUUCCAGCCCCAGCAAUACAUUGGGAUUGUUCUAAUCCAAUCACAAUAAUCCUAUGGUCCACUUUUCCAGACUUCCUUGCAGAUAGAGGUGGCCAAACAACCCACUUCUGUCCAAAAGACAUGAACACAAAUCUAUUGCAGAAGGAAGGACUGGAAAACCUUUGUCUUCCUCUCUUUAUUCCAUCUUGAACACAGAUAGGAUGGCUGGAGCUGUGGCAGCUACCUUGAGACUAUGUGGGACAAGCCAAGGAAAUUACAGAAAUCUUGGCUCUGAUACUAUUGAACGGCUGAGCCAAAGCCAGCAGCAGUCCUACUUUGGACUUCUUGUUUUGUGUGCAAAAACAGUCUUCUUCAUUUAAGCCGUUAUUGAUUGGGCUUUCUGUUGCUGGCAGCUGAGUGCUUCCCUGAUACCUAGUACUUUAUAAUUGAAUCCGUUGCAUGUCUCUCUACCCUACCUGAGGGCAGGAAUCAUUCCCUAUUUGUCUUCAGGACCUUCAGACUUAGCAGGGCGUUAGCAGUGAGCCAGAACCAAGAAAGGGUCCAUUAACUGAAGAGAAGAUUUCUGAAGACUAAGGCCACCCCCAGGUGGAGGUGGAAAUAGCAGUGACUUCAGAGGCUUUGCACUAGUAUUGCCAGGUAAAAUCUAGGAUACCCAGUUAAACUGAAUUUCAGAUAAAUAAGUUGAUGUAAGCCCCAUAUAAUAUCGGUGAUAUACUAACAUUUAUUGUUAAUCUGAAUUUCACAUUUAACAGCAUCCUGGAUUUUUAUUUGCUAAAUCUUAAGGCUGUUUUCUACAAAAGUGCCCUCACCUGUGUUCAGGGCUUUUUCAGUGGGCAUAGGUGGUGGGGCCUUCACCACCACUUAAUCAUACAGAGGGUGCCUUCUGACCCAGGCUGGCCUUCCAUGGUCAUUGUGAAUGCCAGGGCCACCAUUCAUAGAGCUACCCUCCUGGAAAGGUUCUGGGAGCCUGAAGCAGCCCCCUCGGCAUAGGCUCCUGUGGCUGGGCCUUCCAGCUUUGCGCCUGGCCAGUCAGGCCCCAGCCUGUGCUGAGGGCCCACUGUGAAAUCAAUGUUGACCCGAAGAAAAAGGCACAACCUACAAAUUGUAAGUUUCAGUGUUUAUUCAAAGACCUGGCUGGGGACUAUAGCCUGGGAAACAGCCUCUCAGUAGCUCUGAAGGGAAUGCUCCAAAGUGGUAGGAGGAGAGGCCAGCGUAUGUGUAUGUGUGAUUUUGGUUGCAGAAUACAGGCAAUCAAGUAUAUCUCUGGGGAAGAUGUCACUUUUUAGUCACAAGGAACAAAUCUCUCAGUUAAUGAUUUUAGUGCUUUUUCUAUGUAGGGGGAGAUGCAGGAAUCUGGGUCCAUUAAAAUUCUUACUGAGCCAUAUCUACCUAAGGGGCCUGUCUUUGCAAAGCCCAGAGUGCCUUAUCUGUUUUUCUCUCUCGAAGUCCUUUCAGGGUGUCCUGCUGGUCAGCGACGGCCGUGGCUAAUAACUCGAUCCUUGCGGAACUAGAUGGGAGGCCGCAUUCUUUGUUUUACUCAGGUCGGCUGCGGAUCCGCUCAGAGCCUGGGGACAAACCUGGCUCAGGUCCAAGCCCUGCCAUGGACACCCUGUAUAAUCUUUAGCGAGUCAUGCCGAUUCUCUGAGCCUCGGUUUCCCCCUCUGUAAAACAGGGAUUAUAACCACCUCCCCGGGUUGGUAGCAACAGUGAAAGAUUUGCUCAUAUAAAAUUACUCUGGGUGCUUCGUGAGGCGGAUGAAAGGGGGGGGCCCAGCAGCUGGGGCGUGUUCAACCUACUGAUGAGAAGAGUAAUUCGUCCCUCACCUGCUGGUCCAGGUCCCAAUGUUGUCUGUUGCUACCUGACACAUCAGUCCCAGAUUGAGCAACUUAAAAUAGCAAACAUUUAUUGUCUCACCAUUUUUGUGGUCCAGAAAUUUGAGAGUAGUUAUGCAGGGUGGUUCUGCUCAGGGCCUCUCCUGAGGUUACAGUCAAGGUGUCACCCGAAGGCGUGACCGGGGCCGGAAGAUCUGUUUCCAUCGUUGUCCACUCACGUGGCUGCUGGUGGGAGAGCCCUGUGCUCUGCUGGCUGUUGGCAGAAGGGCCCCUUCUGUGGCACGUGGGUCUCUCCAGGAAGCUGCUCCAGGGUCCCCACAGUGUACCGGCUGGCAUUCCCCUGGGGCUGGUGAUGGAGGAGAGAGUAAGGCAGAAGUUACGAUGUCUUUGAUGACCACGUGUCAUCUUUUCUGCCUAUCCUAGUGGUCAUGUAGGCCAGUCCUGACAGAGGGGAUAUAUGAUGGCGUGACUACCAGGACCCAGGGUCACCGAGGACCAUCCCGGAGACUAGCUGUCACUGUCCCCUGCUCCCUCACAUACCAGCAACCUGGCCAUUAUGUUCCCCUCUUUCUUCAUGCUCUCUCUCCCUCGGUCACCCAAGCCAGGAUUGGGACUCUGCAAUGCCUCUCUGACCAGUUCCUCCGUUCUUCCUCUCUGUCCCCACCCAGAUGAGAUCCUCGUCACUUCUCUCCUACAAACCCAGGCUUUUCUAAUCCAAAACGUACAUGUCGCACAAAACUUUCAUUGGCUCCCCAGCAUACACGGAUUCCUGAGCGAGACACUCAGCCCCAUGCCUGGCCUCCUUCUAUCUCUCCAGCCCCUGCUCACCACUCCCCAACGGGCCUGACUUGAGCCUCGCCGGCUAUCCACUGUGAAAGUUAUACCCCUGCCUUGACCUUGUUAACUCUGCCUGGAACACAUACUCUUCAUCUGGCCAUAGAACUCUUAGGCAUCCUUCAAAACCCACUUCCCAGAAUCCUCCUCUGCCUGCCCAGGACAGUUAGUCUGUCCCUUCCCAGUCACCCUCCAGCCUCUGCUCACAAGCUUGUAACCAUCUAAGUACCUGCCAAACCCUCGCUUCAUAGCUCUGGGCUUCCCCAGGGCAGUCACAGAGCCUAGCUCAUCUCAGUGUCUUUAGAACAAAGCCCAGGGCUGGGCACAUGGGUGGGGGUUCUGCUG
Molecule: non-coding RNA, 4261 nt
Organism: Sus scrofa (pig)
Lineage: Eukaryota; Metazoa; Chordata; Mammalia; Artiodactyla; Suidae
Source: RefSeq, a predicted model, not a curated record